This 1114-nucleotide long non-coding RNA is filed under the name Phaseolus vulgaris (common bean). Its description in RNAcentral is "long non-coding RNA (PVUL_LNC004005)". Lineage: Eukaryota; Viridiplantae; Streptophyta; Magnoliopsida; Fabales; Fabaceae. The record is from RNAcentral.
ACAAAAAAGAAUCAUUUUAAUAACAAGGAUAAAUUUGUAAACUUACAAUAAACCAUCCUCACAAAUUCACUCUAUCAUCCCUCAAUCCAAACAACCUCACAUAUUCUCACUCAUCCUCUCUAAUCCUCACAAAUCCACUCCCUCCCAUCUUCACAAAUCUCCUCCUCAAUCCAAACAGAGCCUACGAGAAGUGAAAAAAUUACUGAACCCGCUCGCUCGUCCGCACCCACGCCUUCACAUGCCCUGAUCCAAACAAAAGUUCUUCCCGCUCGUCCCUUCCUCCUCCGUUAUCACACCUAAAAGCAAACAGAGUGUAAAAGAUAAGGGAAAACUUUAUUUUGACACUUAAAAUAAAAUAAAGAUAAAUAAUACUACACUUACUUUACAAUCCAUUAUAAUAAUAUAUUUAAAAUUUAAGUUAAAAAAAUAUAAAUAUAAGUAAAAUAUAACCACACGUGAAACCCGUGGGAAAAGUGCAACAAAAACACCUCUUAUCACAAAGAAAAUGACACUUAUAAGUUGUAUAUAAUUUUUGAUGUAAUAGAUUUAAAAAUAAAUAUAUAAUAAAGAGUAAAUUUAAAAAAUAAUAAAAUAAUAAUAUCGAAAGUUAUAAUGUGAUUAUGUGAAAAGUAUGACUUAUGAACUUUUAUCCUAGAUAAAUCAAGGAAGAUACUUCACUUUUUCUCUCUCAUUUACUUUCCAACUCUAUUUAAUAAUAAAAUAUUUUAUCUAAUUAAUAAAAUAAUUUUUCAAAACAAAAUAAUAAUAUUAUUAGUUUAAGGUGUGUGUAUGAAAAAAUUAAUGAUACAUGAAAAAUCCUUUCCAUUUUUUAUCUUUUUUAUACAAUCACAUUAUAAUUUUUAAUAUUAUUAUUUUAAUAUUUUUUUAUAUCAUUUAAUUACAAAUUUAUCAUUUAUUAUAUAUUAUAUAUAUUUAUAUCUAAAUCAAACCGUGAAAAAGUAUACCGAAUCUUGUUCUUUAAAUUCAACAAACAUGUUCCAACACACAACAACCACUGCUCUGUUAUCUUAUAUCUCUUCCUGGUGUGGAGAACAACUGUGAUGGAGCCCGAGACUUUUGUAGCACUGGUAGCUGGUGUCACAGGGAUGGCUGG